UUGCCAGCCCGCUCAGAACUCAAAGGAAUUGACGGGGCCCGCACAAGCGGAGGAGCAUGUGGUUUAAUUCGAUGAUACGCGAGGAACCUUACCUGGGCUCGAACGUAAGAUGACUGUAGGUGAAAGCUUACAUCUCUUCGGAGCAUUUUACGAGGUGCUGCAUGGUUGUCGUCAGCUCGUGCCGUGAGGUGUCGGGUUAAGUCCCAUAACGAGCGCAACCCCUACCUUUAGUUGCCAUCAGGUUAAGCUGGGGACUCUAAAGGAACUGCCUACGCAAGUAGUGAGGAAGGCGGGGAUGACGUCAAAUCAGCACGGCCCUUACGUCCAGGGCUACACACGUGCUACAAUGGCCGAUACAGAGGGCAGCUACCUGGUGACAGGAUGCAAAUCUCCAAAGUCGGUCUCAGUUCGGAUCGGAGUCUGCAACCCGACUCCGUGAAGUUGGAUUCGCUAGUAAUCGCGCAUCAGCCAUGGCGCGGUGAAUACGUUCCCGGGCCUU
This 499-nucleotide ribosomal RNA is filed under the name uncultured Sphingobacteriales bacterium. RNAcentral describes it as "bacterial SSU rRNA". It matches the Rfam family "Bacterial small subunit ribosomal RNA", at positions 880 to 1382 of the family's 1533-position model. Lineage: Bacteria; Pseudomonadati; Bacteroidota; Sphingobacteriia; Sphingobacteriales. The record is from RNAcentral.